GCUCACUUAUCAGAUAGAGUUAUUGUUUAGUAGCUUAUAUGUGUCCCUGCGUACCAUUUUUUUCUAAUAUAGUAAGAACGACACGGAGACUGGAACAUGUCCACAGUCGCAGCUAAGGAGUUUUCUCCGGCCACCCUUGCAGCGAUGCAGUUUGCAUCUGGAGGAUGUGCAGGUUUUGUUGAAGUCUGCAUGAUGCAUCCCCUGGAUCUAAUCAAAACACGUUUCCAGAUUCAACGAGGACCAGAUGACCCAAAUCGAUAUACUUCUAUUGUUGAUUGCUUCCGCAAAAUGUACAGACAGGAAGGACCUCUGUCAUUUUACAAAGGGAUUUUGCCACCUAUUUUGGCUGAAACACCAAAACGUGCUACAAAAUUCUUCACUUUUGAGAGAUACAAGAAUUUGCUUGCAUAUGGGAAUUAUCUCUCACAACCAGUUGUGCUGACCAUAGCUGGCUUGUUUGCAGGUUUUACAGAAGCCAUUGUUGUAAACCCAUUUGAGGUUGUCAAAGUGCGUCUGCAAGCUGAGCGACAAAGUUUUACACAGCAAAAAGGUACUAUUCAGACUGCCAAGGAAAUUAUUGCUAAAGAUGGAUUUGGUCUCAAGGGGUUGAAUAAAGGUAUGACUGCGACUCUGGGAAGACAUGGUAUAUUCAACAUGGUGUAUUUCAGCUUUUAUCACAACAUAAAGGGGAUUGUUCCUGAAAUUCAGGAUCCUACUAUGGACUUCUUCCGAAGAUUUUUCAUUGGCCUUUGUGCUGGAACAUUAUCAUCAAUUGCAAAUAUACCAUUUGAUGUAGCAAAGAGUAGAAUACAGGGACCACAGCCAGUGCCAGGGGAGAUAAAAUACCGCACAUGCUUCCAGACGAUGAAAUUGAUUUACAAGGAGGAAGGGUAUGAACAGAAUUAUUAAUUUAGGUAUUUUGCACUUUACAAGGGUCUGUUGCCGAAAGUUCUUCGACUUGGUCCAGGUGGAGCUAUCAUGCUGAUUGUUUAUGAAGCAGCUUUUGACUGGAUGAAGACUAAUCUCUAGCGAACUGCAAGUGCACUGGCAGAUAAGAAAUCCAGUUGAAACUUAUUCUUGUUGAAAAAAAGCCGGGCUUAAUUGUGCGAAAGUAGUAAUCUGAUAUCAUGCAGGUUGAUUGUGACUGAAGUAUUUAGUGUAUACUAAAUCAUAAUAAUCAGUAUAUAUAUUUUACAAGUUUUACAAUCUACAAGUAACUCAAAACUUCCACCUGUCCAUAUACUACAUUGCUGGGUCAGCAAUGGCUUCUUCAGAACAAACCAGAUUCAUUAUUAAUUUACUUGUGUUAACAUGCUUCCUGUACUGAAAAUAUCUCAGGAAUUUAUAUGAUUUUGUUACAUGUUGCUGCAAUGGGAUACUUAUGAGGUAGUUUUCUGUUCAUCAUUAAAGAUGGUUGUGGUUCAUAUGCUCUGUUGAAGAGCUUGAUCCUAUAUGUGGAUUUAUAUUAUUUUAAAAUGCAUGUAUUUUGAUAUCCUUCUUGGUGUAAUAAUAAUUGAUUGAGAAAAUGUCUUAUUGAAAAAGGCUGUGGCUAUGUGAUACUCAUAAUUAAAAUUAAAUUUCAUCCAUUUUUAUUAUUCAAGGGAUAGACUAUAUCAUGAACCUAAAUACUGUAUUUGUAUCAAAAAGCCAUUUAGAUAAGAGGGUUGUCUGGGACCAGUUUCUUCAUACUUUAUGCAUUUUACCUUCACUUUCAUAGUUAAGACAAAUAUAUAGCCAGGAAAGGAUUCUUCAUAAUGGUUUUUAUAAUGCAUGUUGCUUUUACCCUUCAGAAACACCCAUAUAAAUUUUCAGUAAAAUGUGAUCUUUCAAGUAGCUCACUUGGAGUUUCCAUAGUGAGCCACAGCUAUUUUUAAAUAUGAUUAUUGUUAUUAUAUCUCUUGUAAGCAUGUAUAUUUAAAACUAUGCAUAAUCUUAAGAUUAUAAUGGCUUGAAACAGGGACAAAACUGAUUUUUAUUUAUCAACACCUGAUACAGAAAGCAGUGUGCAAUGUUCUGUUUCUCAUUUUCAGUCAAAAGUACUGAAGACUGAAUUUGAAGAAAACUUCUUUUAAAGGAUCCUAUGUCAUUCUGAGGCAUUAUAUGAAUUGCUUUACUGUAACGUGACCAGGCAUUUUGGAAGCAAAUGUGGGAUGCAUGAGAUUGUCCCGGCAUAAUCGUGACAUAUGGUCACCUUAAAUUUAAUGCAUUUAGGUAUAUCAUCUAACCAUCAUGAUUACUUACAAGCAUAAAUAGUAUAUCCUUAAUCUUACAUGGAAUUGUGCAUGCUUGAAUAUUUAAUAUAUGAAUGCUCCAGCUGGAUUGUGAUUCUGUACAGAUAAAGCACUUAUAUUUUUGGGGGGUAAUUGAAAUGUACACUUUGAUCAUAUGCAUUUUUUCUUUGAGGAACAUCUUAUAAUUUUCGUGUAAGGUGCAUGCUCACUCUGUGAAAAUUUUUAUGCAAAUAAAAAGAACGAAGUCUUUAAGUUAAGUAGAUUUUGCAGAAAUCAGUUUCUCAGAUACGUAUUUCAUUUUAAGAGUGUUUCUCUUCCUUUGCUAUGGUUAUUUUUGAUCAUGUCAUAGCAUCUUUAAUAACACUUUUAUUUUACAUUCGUUAAAAGUUUUCAUUCAGAUGUACAGUCCGAUCAACAGUCUGAUGUGUGUUUCAAAAUGGACCAUCAUACUCUCUGUGGGAGAAGAUUUUUUUUCCAAAUCAGAAAAAUAGUGUUCUGAGUUCUGGUAAUUGUGUAAUCUAUCAUUUAUAUGAUUAAAAACUGUCUUUAGGUUUUCCUGCUUUGAAGAUUUAAAAAAGCUUACAGUCAGUUAAAGAAAUCUCUGAUGGUUCUGGUUUCUGAAAGAAAUACUGCUGAUUCCUUUAUCUUGCUUGCUAAAUGUCAGACUUUUCUCUUCCAGUACAGUUCUUUGCAUGUUUGGAGUUAAACUUACUGAAUUUUUAUAUUUAACUGCUUAGUAAAGGCAAAGAACUGUACUGGAAGAGAAAAGUCAACAAGAUAACAAGAUGACCAGACUGUGCUACUGUUGUCGUGAUCUCACUCCAGCAUGCAUGUUCAAGCUACUGACAGCUUACCAUUUAUGCAUAUAUGUAAACAAAUGUCAGUAUCUUCAGUCUGUUUGUAUUGCCCUCUUCUCUGUGCUGUGCUUCAGAAAUAAGAAAUUCAGUUUCUCUUCUUUCUUUGCUCUUUUUUCUUCAAAUUGUGUCUAAAUUCAAAGCCUUCAAGUCAGUCUUAAAACCCAUCUCUUUAAGAAAUACUUGUAUAAUCAAGUGUACUAUUCUGUUCACUCAUCAGUUCAUCAUGAACUUAGUUGUUUGUCAUGGUUUCAUCUAUUUGCUGAUCAUAUUUCUUUUACAAUUGGUUCUUUUGCAGUCUGUUGAGUUUGCAUCUACACAGGGAAAUGGGCAUUGCAAAUUCUAUUAUUGUAAUUUUUAAUAUUUUGAAGAGCAUUUAUUGUAUAUGGUUAUGAAAAUUGUGUUACUACAUUUGCUCAACACAACGUGUUCUUUGGGGAACUGAUCAGGGUUAUUUUUUAUAAUAACUGAGGUUAUUUUUAAUAAUGGUGAUUUGAAACUUAAAUGUUUUUAUUUUUAAUCUUUUACCAAACAGCUACUAUUCAGUUUACUAUGGACUUUGUGGUCUCUUCUUGUUCAUUGUGUGGCAGUGUGUGAUAAAUUGUCUGAGAGAUGUAUUAGCAAUUGUAGGGUUGAUUCCAUGUCCAUACAGGGUACUGAAAAACACAUGUCCUAGCUACUGACAGAGAAAAACUGAAAUAUUAAAAAAAAAAUGAAUGUAUCCUAGCACUGGAAUGUGUAGCCAGUUUCAGGAUGUUAUAAAACAUUAGAACUACAUGAAAAACUUAUUUUGUUUAACUUUGUCAAUUAGUUUUUUAUGUAUCAAGUAAAAAAUUUACAGUAAAGUCUAUUAAAAAAAUGUGUUUUAAGAACUA
Molecule: RNA transcript, 3960 nt
Organism: Pomacea canaliculata
Lineage: Eukaryota; Metazoa; Mollusca; Gastropoda; Architaenioglossa; Ampullariidae
Gene name: mitochondrial 2-oxodicarboxylate carrier-like
Exons: 8
Source: RefSeq, a predicted model, not a curated record